AUGCUGCUGCCUGGUGGCGAAAAGGCAUCUUGCCUUAAAAAAGAACCUAUUUGCAAAAUGACAAUAACAAGCACACUUUCUUUCUUGUCAGAAAGCUCCGGACCGCUGUUGCAGCCCACAGGAAGCAGAAGUGAGGCAGCUGCCAGGACCCGACCAAAGGCAGCAAGAGCUCCGCUGCAACCCCGCCGGCUCACCCUCCUCUGGCCCCGACCUCUUCUACCGGUCCAAAGCUUUGCUGGGCUCCUCAGAGCCUGCCGGGGCGAAGGCGGGGCCGGCCGCCGCACCCAGUCCGCUCCUCCCAGCCCGCCUGAGAGGCCUCGGGCACGCCCCUCCUCCCGCCCCGCCCGGCCCUGCCCGGCCCGGCGGAGACGCCGGCGUGCGCGCGCGCGCGCGCGCGGCGCCGAGCCGAUUCUCCUUCCGAGCGUCCGCGCCCCGCAUGCGCACUCCGCGCUGGCGGUCUCCGUUUGUUUGAACAGGAAGGCGGACAUAUUAGUCCCUCACGGCCCCCCUCGCCCCACCCCCCCCCAGGCAUUCGCCACCGCGACUCGCCCUCUCCGGAGCAGGGGACGCAGCCCCUCCCAGAAGCUCCCCCAUCAAGCAGCGCCGGGACCCGACUCUCGUCUUCCUCACCGCGAGCUCUCUAGCCUUCCUCUCCUAAGUCUCCAUCGGGCACCGACCUCGCCCUGCCCCGCCGGACACCGCGGUAGCAGCCCCAGCAGCGACGGACAAAAUGGGAGAGUGAGGCUAUCCCGUGGGGACCACCUCUUGGCUGAGUCGGAUCGGUGCGUCGGGGCUGCGCCAAGUAAAGCCGGGGAUGCGGGGCUAGACCGCCUACAGCACUUCAGAGUGGAGCGGGCCGGGCCCGUGGCCCAAGCGGCGGCGGCAGCUGGCACAGCUCCGCACCCGCCCUUCGUUUUCGCCUUUCCUCUUCUCCCUCCCCUGCUGCCCAAAGGAAUCUCCACCCUGCUUCUCUUUCUCUCUCCCCUCCGACCCAUCUCGGGACGGGGAACCCUCCAUGGCGAAGGCGGCUGGGGCCCGCUAAGCUGA
This 1047-nucleotide long non-coding RNA is filed under the name Felis catus (domestic cat). RNAcentral's name for it is "lncRNA (ENSFCAG00000048848.1)". Lineage: Eukaryota; Metazoa; Chordata; Mammalia; Carnivora; Felidae. The record is from RNAcentral.